Odontomachus brunneus is the source of this 5241-nucleotide long non-coding RNA. RefSeq lists it as uncharacterized. The transcript has 7 exons. The record is from RefSeq and is a predicted model, not a curated record. NCBI's taxonomy places the organism in Eukaryota, Metazoa, Arthropoda, Insecta, Hymenoptera, Formicidae.
CGCCAUAUUCUUUCUAUUGUUACGUCUCAACAGGUUGGAGGCUUCCUUUUUCACCUUUAGUUCUUUUCAAGACGUUUGCAAUAUUUAUAUAACACUUAUCGUUUUAACAGCUGGUUCCUUUACCAGAUCUGCUAUUUUCCUACGAUGUAUGGCACUAGUCGAGAAUGUAUUCAGAACACAACUAAUAGAUAUGUCACGGUUUAUUGAGUAUCCACACGCGUUGGGAAUUUGAGGCGUAACGGUAAGUAGUGAGUACAUGUAUGUACAUACACAUACACAUGUAUAUACAUAUAUACGUAUGAAUUACACACCUUAAUGACACCGAUUUUCUUUGCAACGUAAUAACACAUCUACGCGGUAACGUUGAUUAACGUUAAGGUCUCAAAUGCGUGUCCUUUGCAGCUGACUUAUUCGAAUAGUUAUCACGCUAUAAAGUCUUUUAAAAAGAACUUAAUUUUAUAACUAGGAUUCUCAUGUUAACUAUAUCGGAACAUUCUUGAUUUAAAACUCCUGAUUCCUCGCAGCGAAGAUGUGAUGCAUGCAACCUCUCUUUUUAAAUCUAUUUCCUCAUGAUUUUGUCAUGUUAAUUUUACAACUAUUGAUUAUUAGAGUAAAAGGAAAGUGAUUAUUUUUUACGAGUCUGCUUGAUCGAUUGCAGCUACUAUUUUGCGAACAUAUCAUUUUAUUUCGAUAUAUUGCAAGAAUUUUUAACGUGUUUUUCCUCGCUCGUCUCGCGUCAUAAAUCAAGAUGGUCGCAGCAGGUCGCAGCGAGGGACCAAGACUGUGUAAAUGGUCUAACGUUAAACAUGAUCGAUGCAAAAUAAAUACGUAACGGUGACGAAGAGCAAGGUAUAACUAUAAAAUUGAUCAAACUCAUUGACAUUCACGUAACAGUUGGAUAUUGUACCAAGACUAUUGUCCUAAUUGUACACAAACGGAUAUGGUCAGCUUUCACGUCAUUCUGUCCGUCAUUACGGAUUAAUUAUCCGACCGUCACAUCGAUUCUGUCCCGAGGCUCCUCGUCGGUUGAUGAGAGCCGCAAAGCGAAGUGGAAGUGAUCAGACGUGGUCUGAUUUACAUCGGCUUCGAUCACGAAGAUCGACGCGGGUGGCGUUUCCUCGACGCGGCCCUCCUCGGCGGGCAAGAGCGGUGCCAGGGAUUUAUAUGUUUGCAGUUCUAUGGCAGGAGUAUGAGCCUCUUUCUCGAUAUCGUUAACAGAUUUCUCUAUGCUUGUUUGUUCGUUCGGCUCGGAAUUGCUAAUUAUCACUACUGCUCCGACAGUGUUGACGCUCGCGGCAUGUUGACGCUGCUCCUUUUCCCGUAUCGACGAUAUGCGCCUCUCGGAAUACGCGCCGCCUGUUCUCGUGUCGCCGACAGCCUGCAACGUCGUCCAAAUGGAACAAACAUGAGGAUUACAAAAGCCAUAAGAUGCUUACUAGACGCUAUUAUCUUUUUUCUCAAAUUUCCGCAGUAAAAAUCCAAGUGUUAUUUUGGAUCUGAAUCUCUCUUUACAUGUUUUUCACCGUUUUAAGACUAUUAGCCCCUCAUCACGACCAUCUCGAUUAACGUGAUAUGCAACUUUCCUUUUUAACUUAUAUUUUCUUAUUAUUUUGUCGUAUUCAUUUUACUGUUAUUUAUGGAUUAUUAAAGCAAAAGGAAAAUAUUUGGAAUAUUUUAGAGAUGUGCUUAAUCGAUUGCAAGCAUUAUUUUUUGGAUAUGUCUUUUUAUUUCGACGUACUUUGCAGGAAUAUUGGAGAUAUAUUUCCUCGUUUCUGAUGUUGUCAAUCAAAAGUUACGCGGCGAAGGACUAGGAUCCUUAAGUCACAUCAUUUAAUACCAUCAAAUUGUAAUUUAUAUUUUAAACGUAUUAAAUGAUGUGAUUAAAAACGCAAGAAAUAUGUAAAAAGAGAAUUACACGCUUAUGCGUUUAAAAAUAACACUUGGAUUUACGGUGUGUAUGUACGGGAUUAUUUAUAGUUUCCCACAUGAGAAUACUUGGAAUGAUUAAAUUAUAUGAUGUGCGUAUGUAUUCUAUGUAGAUAUAGAUUUCAUUUCACCUUGACGCCGGCGUAAACCGAGCAAAGGAUGAAGCGUGAGAAUGAAAUGUGCAAGUAGGAGAAUUCACGCACCUGGCGUAGCAGACUUGACCUUUGACUUCCCGGUUGAGGGAGGCCGCUAGGUCGCCUUUGAAACUGUCUCUGCGACCCCACGAGAGAUCCGCGAUCGUGGAUCACGCUGAUCACACUGGACUUAACAUCGCUGUGCGGGAACAACAGUCGCCACACGAAAUUCUUGAGUGCGGCACGAAAGUCCUUGAGGUGGUAGGCGUAGAGAAGUGGGUUCCCGACCGAGUUCAUGUGCGAGAGAAUGAUGCAGAAGUUUAUGAGGAAGUCGUUUACCUCGCACUCGGGACAAAACGCCAUCACGCAGUUGAUCGUGUACAGCGGGAACCAACAGACGAUGAAGAACAGGACGAUACGCGAGAGAUUUUGCGUAGCCUUGACCUCUCGUUUGCGCGCCGCGCCGAGCACACGCAGCAUCGUCCCCGUCGCCUGGUUACUCGUGCGACCACGACGAAGACCACCGCCGAGACGGCGAUCGGCGGCGGCACCACCACCAUCGGGAUCCAUCGUGACGAUUUGCUCGACUGACCUGCUUCACAAUCACGCGGUAUAUGUGGGCAUAAAAAACCGCGAUCAGCAGGGCAGGGAAGAUGAUCGUGGCAAAAUACAGAAACACAAGAUAAUCGAAGUCCAUCACUUUCAUGAACAUGCAUCUGUGGUCGCUCAUCUCCCCGGUGUUCCAUCCUAAAAGCGGCAGAAAGCCCACCAAUGUGCCUGCUAUCCAACACACGCAUAUUAUACCUGAAAGCAAUAGAUUCUUUCUUUAACAUGAAGAUAAAUAUAUGAGCCCAAAGUGGAUAGUAUUUGAGACAUUGAAGAUAUUGAAGAUAUUCAUAGAGAGAUUCUCUCUUUCAUGCAGGAACAGCUCUAUUCAAGACGAUUCCGUUUGUGGGAAUCGUGUUUGUCAGGCGCUAUCACAUCGAUGUGAAAUCAGGAACUAUUGAAAUCGAGAGGACGACUUCAGUUGACUUGGAUCAACGCACGCGUGUAUCGCCUUCCAUUAAUCUCGCGACCUGAUAUCAAGUACCUGAUAUCAAGUAUCAAAUUAAUAACAUCGUGGAAGGACGCGCGUGGUGAUCCCUCACCUAUGGCAGUUUUGGUGCGCACCGUGCGCGAGUAUCCCAUGGGGUGUAGUAUUGCCCAGUAACGAUCGACAGACACUGCCACUAGGCAGAAAAUGCUGAUGGUACACAAGACCACGAGGACCGACACGGUGAAGAGACAAGCGUGCAGAUUCGUCGGCAGACCGAUACUCGCCAGGAUCGCGAAGGGGAUGGCGAACAGUCCGACCAAUAAAUCGGCCGCGGCUAACGAGACGAUGUAGUAGUUGGUGCGUCUGCGUAACUUUCGUUCCUUGCCGAAAACCACGAUGACCAGGCCGUUGCCGAAGACGGCGCAGAUCGCCACCAGAAUCUCGCACACGUUUUGAAGCUGAGCCUCUCGGGGAAACCCUUCCUAUCUGUCAGGGAAAACUCAAUUUUAUAUCGAGGUCACAGAGAAGAUUUGUAGAUUGAAACUUGGCACGACAAAUUUUGUCGUAAAAUCACGUUAACUUACUGUUGCUGAUACAGCUGAUACGUUAUUGGAAAUCAUCGAUAUCAUGUGUAUUUCGAGAAGAAGACAUUUGCAGCACCUUCCACGAUUCAUAUCCGUACAAAAAACAAACGACCUACACACGACGGCGACCAUAAUUAGUAAGUGCAAUUGUGCACGCGUAGCGAGCGACGAUGAACAGCCACCGAGUGUCUUCCUUGUCAGCCUGAUGUGCACAAACCGGAUGUUCGUUAUAUCGCUCGUCAUUGGACAUCGAUAAGAUAAAAUAGGGAUAGAAUUACCGCGUCAAGGAUAACUAGACAAACGAGUCUGUACAUUUUUCAAUCUCUUUUUCACAGAUUUUGUAGUACGUAUCUGUACUGUUUGCAAGUACACGUGUACUCGAAUAUACAUUUGAAACGCGAUAUCGUGUCUCGGCAGACGCACGAGGUGCCAUCAGCCUGGUCACGGAAAUCACGAAAAAUGAAGAUCAUUUCGCUUCUGUCGAGUAUCCUAUACGCAGCGUAAAUACAGAUAGAUACGAUCUUUCGCCAGAAGGAACUAAUUCGACGAUCAAUAACAGCGCGAUCGUCCAACAAUUGUCUGAACAACGAAAGUAACACCAUGUUCGACCAACCCGACGCGUCGUGUUCGAGAAAGCAACGGAAAGCCGUUCAACCUGGACACUCCUGCCGAGUGGCUUUAACGAACAGUGAACGGGUCCAUUCGUGGUAAUUCGCAUGUACUCAUUGUCCGUAACUGGCGUAUAACGGAGCGCUUGACAUUGCAUAAAGGAUCUCUAAUUGCGCUGUGGAGCUAAAUGCCUUCUCUGUCGCGCGACGCGCGCUGCCACGAGCGGUCUUUCGAGCGCGCUAGAGCGAUCUAAAUCGAAAAUGGGUCGUGUUCGCGUUACACCAGCCAUGUAAACACACCCUAGAAUGUACGACCGACUAUCUAAUGGUUUAAUACGACUAAUGCGUCGCCGGAAGGUGGACUGCAGCCUUAUCCGAGUCGAUAUUUUGGUUCCAUGUUAACCUUGCAAAUUCCGUCCAACUUGGCGAGCCGAUGGAGAGUCUUGAGCUCAAGGAUGCGGAAUGUGUCAUUGAUUGUCGGCCACCGAAUGUGCUCAUCAUUGAUUGGAGAACGACGCACACACCGCGAUGAGGAGUACGUAUGUUGCAAGUGUCAGUGCUAGAAGCAAAUACUCAGAGUGCUACGAUGGAGCAGCUGAGAGCAGAAUGCUGAAACUAAGACUUUGGAAUGUAGACAGCGAUACAUUAUCUAUUUACAGGUGUGUCAAAUCAUUUAUUUUACAAAGUGUUUUCGAUUUUAACGGAUGUUCAAUAAAAUUUGCCGGGCAUAAGAAUACACCCGAGUCGAAAUUUAAGCUGAUAUUCAUAGUCUUUUAUUGCUAUUUAAUACAUUAUUAUAGUUCCGUGAAUCUCUCUCUGAUUAUUCAUGUUAAAGUUGACUAACAGUCUAUAAGUAUGAAUCUAUCAGCAAUUUGCUUUUAGGCAAUGACUGCAAAUAAUUUACAAAAAAUGUUCGCGAAAAAAAAAUAAAACAAUGAACAAUUAAUUUCUAA